GGCUCGUCCCUUCCCCCACCCCCAGCCGCCGCCGCCGCCCGCGCUUCGCAACAAAGCCGGCUGCGGAGCCAUGGUCCACGGCGCCCGCCCGCGACCCCGCCGCCCCGCAUGGUAGCCGGAACGUCUCUCCCUUACCAGCCUUCGCUUCCUGGUGCCCAGCUCUUAGGACCGUGUGUGACUCUGGCCUUCUACCGAGACAACAGAGAAACGCACAGCAACUCGCAUGGAGGAAUCGGCGAAAUGGCUCCGACCGCGGCGCUAGGGGGCGGGGCCAGCGAGCGGUGUUGAAAGCAGCAGGGGCCUAGAAGACAUUAAACCGAUACCACAGAAAUACAAAGGAUCAUUAGAGACUAUUAUGAACAACUAUAUGCCAACAAAUUGGAAACCAAAUGGAAAUGGAUAAAUUCCUGAACAGAUACAACUUACCAAAAUUGGACCAAGAAGAAAUAGAAAACCUGAAAAGACCAACUAUGAGUAAUGAGAUUAAAUCAGUAAUAUAGAGUCUCCCAUCAAAGAAAAGUCCAGGCCCUGAUGGCUUCACUGCUGAAUUCUACUGAACAGUUAAAGAAGAACUCAUACCAGUUCUCAAACUCAUCCUGUGAGGGCAGCAUUACCCUGAUACCAAAACUAGAUAUGGACACAAGAAAAAAAAUCUAUAGGCCAGUAUCCCUGAUGAACAUAGAUGCAAGAAUCCUCAACAAGACCAGGUGUGGUGGUUCAUGCCUGUAAUCCCAGCACUUUGGGAGGCCAAGGCAGGUGGAUCACCUGAGGUCAGGAAUUUGAGACCAGCCUGGCCAACAUGGCAAAACCCUGUCUGUACUAAAAAUACAAAAAUUAGCCGGGCAAGGUGGCGUGUGCCUGUAAUCCUAGCUACUUGGGAGGCUGAGGCAGGAGAAUUGCUUGAACCUGGAGGGAGGAGGGGCAGAAGUUGCAGCGAGCUCAGAUCGUCCCACUGCACUCCAGCCUGGGUGACAGAGUGAGACUCCAUCUCAAAAUAAGUAAAUAAAUAAAGAGACUCAACUAGC
This 1025-nucleotide long non-coding RNA is filed under the name Homo sapiens (human). RNAcentral describes it as "non-protein coding lnc-SHCBP1L-1:1". The record is from RNAcentral. Lineage: Eukaryota; Metazoa; Chordata; Mammalia; Primates; Hominidae.